UACGGAGGGUGCAAGCGGUAUCCGGAUUCACUGGGGUUAAAGGGUGCGUAGGUGGGUUGAUAAGUCAGUGGUGAAAUCCCCGAGCUUAACUUGGGAACUGCCAUUGAUACUAUUGAUCUUGAAUACCGUGGAGGUCAGCGGAAUAUGUCAUGUAGCGGUGAAAUGCUUAGAUAUGACAUAGAACACCAAUUGCGAAGCCAGCUGGCUACGCGAAUAUUGACACUGAUGCACGAAAGCGUGGGGAUCAAACAGG
Molecule: ribosomal RNA, 253 nt
Filed under: uncultured bacterium
Lineage: Bacteria
Description: partial 16S ribosomal RNA
Rfam family: Bacterial small subunit ribosomal RNA
Source: RNAcentral